CCGAGCUUACAACUCCCAAACCCCUGUGAACAUACCUAUAAUUUGCCUCGGCGGACUCAACGACGGUGCUCCGAGAGAUCGGGCGCCGCUCGCUGCCAGAGGAACCCCAAACUCUAUGUAUUUCUGUGGAUCUUCUGAGUAAAACAAAACAAAUAAAUCA
This 160-nucleotide unclassified non-coding RNA is filed under the name uncultured Fusarium. RNAcentral describes it as "sequence contains ITS1". The record is from RNAcentral. Lineage: Eukaryota; Fungi; Ascomycota; Sordariomycetes; Hypocreales; Nectriaceae.